GAUGCAUUUCGGGAUACAUUCAAAUGACAGAUCCCAGGCAACCAGACGCCUGUGGGUUUUUAUAUAAACUUUGAAAAUGGAAUCACUAAGUUAUGUUACAUUGAAAACAGCAAACCAAGCUAGGGAGGCGGAAGAACAAAGGACAGAACAGCGUAAACGAAACCUUCUUGUACUAGUACUUCAUCAUCUAGUAGAUGCAGGGUACAUAGAAUCGGCCAAAGCACUAGAAUCUGAAGGAAAUCUGAGCUUCAGCAGGUUUGAAGUAUGUGAUAAUAUAGAUCUACCUACCAUUCUCAUGGAAUAUGAAUCGUAUUACUAUGUAAAAUUUGGAAAAUAUCCCAAAAUAACCAAGAAAUUGUCAUCAGGUGAUAUUCCUCAACAGAAAGGUGGAAGUGGGAGACGGAAUCGAAAAGGCAGCACUCCAAGCCUUCCAAAAAUCCCCCAUGUUCCAGAGCCAAGGGAUCAGGUUUCGUCAGGGAACUCUGCUUCACGGCGACGGCCAACUUCUUCCAACCCGGCGAUGCGUAAGCAACAAAGUAUUGAAAGGAAACCAAAGCCUGAGGUGAACGGCAAACCCCAACAGGUAAAUGGUAACAUUGACCCCCUGUCUGACUUGGCUGUGUCUGGGUCAACUGUUGCCUCCCCUAAGGGCAAUGAUGCAGAUGGACAUAGAGGAAAUUCUGGAAAACUUCCCCCUCGGAGGGGACCCAUCAUCGACAUGAGGGCUAUGUUGAACAAUGCUGUGAAGGGGGCAACACAAGAGUAUCUCACAGACUCUGAUCCAUCAGAAAGAUUAUUAAAACCAUUAGGCGGCUAUGCCGGCUACUCUCUAGAGUGGCGUGAGUUAGCUCAGAGUAUUAGCAAGGAUAUAUACUUAAACAAUCCUAAUGUACGAUGGGAUGAUAUCAUUGGUCUAGAUGCAGCCAAACGUUUAGUCAAAGAAUCUGUAGUGUACCCUAUAAAGUACCCACAACUCUUCACUGGAAUACUGUCACCGUGGAAAGGUCUGUUAUUAUAUGGUCCACCGGGCACAGGUAAAACACUGCUAGCUAAAGCCGUUGCCACAGAAUGUAACACAACGUUCUUCAACAUAUCAGCAUCUAGCAUUGUGAGCAAGUGGCGAGGAGACUCAGAGAAACUAGUUAGGGUAUUAUUUGAACUAGCAAGAUUUCAUGCUCCAUCCACAAUAUUUCUUGAUGAAUUGGAGUCCCUGAUGAGUCAGAGGGGAUCACUAGCUGGAGGAGAACAUGAGGGCAGUAGGCGGAUGAAAACAGAGCUCUUAGUACAAAUGGAUGGCCUAGCUAAAUCUGAUGAUCUUGUAUUUCUUCUAGCUGCAUCAAAUUUACCUUGGGAAUUAGACCAUGCAAUGUUGCGACGUUUAGAAAAGCGAAUUUUAGUUGAUUUGCCAACGACAGAAGCAAGAGAGAAAAUGAUUGAAUUUCAUCUGCCGUUAGUUCUUAAUCCAGACUGUGUUUUGUCUAUCAAAACUAACCUUGAUUACAUUGACUUAGCCGAAGUAAAAAACAGAAGGAUACUCGGGAUCUGAUUUGAAAUUAGUCUGCAAAGAAGCCGCCAUGAGGCCAGUAAGGAAGGUCUUUGAUAUACUGGAAUCGGCCCAGAUAGAGGAUGAAUCAAUUCCAGAGUUCUCAAUUGAUCCAAUUACAACAGAAGAUGUGGAAGCAGUACUAAAACACACCAAGCCCUCUGCAAGGAUGUUGCAGAAAAAGUACAUGGAAUGGCAGAAGGAAUACGAGUCUG
RNAcentral lists this unclassified non-coding RNA (1758 nucleotides) under Anneissia japonica. Its description in RNAcentral is "katanin p60 ATPase-containing subunit A-like 2, transcript variant X6". Lineage: Eukaryota; Metazoa; Echinodermata; Crinoidea; Comatulida; Comatulidae. The record is from RNAcentral.